Molecule: ribosomal RNA, 369 nt
Filed under: Triticum aestivum (bread wheat)
Lineage: Eukaryota; Viridiplantae; Streptophyta; Magnoliopsida; Poales; Poaceae
Description: partial small subunit ribosomal RNA
Source: RNAcentral
AUGCUGCGGGCGCUGGCGGCUACCGCGCCCCGGAGGUGGUGGACACGCGGCGGCACUCCCUGGGCGCGCUCCUGCUCCAUCCCCCGUCCGGUGCCGUCGCCGGUGAUGCACAUGCCGCAGUGCGCGCCGGUGAAUGUGCCAGGGGCGCGGAUGCGGCGACCGACGGUCGAGGCGUUCGCGAGUGAAGCGGAUGAGGACGACUACGACGUGGAGAUGAUGUCGCCGCAGGAGAUGGUGGCGCGCUCGCCGGCGUGGGAGCCGCCCAUGACGACCUUCUGGAGCCUGGAGGGCGCUGGACACACGCUCAAGGGGAGGGACCUCCGCCAGGUACGCAAUGCCGUGUGGUGGAAGACCGGCCUGCUCGAUUGA